UGUUAAAAAUUUUAUCCAUUUUUACUAUUAAAAAUUGUGUUAACAUGAGGUACACAUGGCAUUGUUAUGUGUAACUAUAUAGAAAUUCCAUCAAUCACACCAACUUUUUUAUGGUAGAAAUGGAUGAUCUUUUUAACA
Molecule: microRNA precursor, 138 nt
Filed under: Gossypium barbadense (sea-island cotton)
Lineage: Eukaryota; Viridiplantae; Streptophyta; Magnoliopsida; Malvales; Malvaceae
Also listed under: 2 other names
Description: MIR7502 microRNA precursor family
Rfam family: MIR7502 microRNA precursor family
Source: Rfam by way of RNAcentral